Molecule: non-coding RNA, 230 nt
Organism: Pelobates cultripes (western spadefoot toad)
Lineage: Eukaryota; Metazoa; Chordata; Amphibia; Anura; Pelobatidae
Source: the annotation of a GenBank genome assembly
AGAAAGCAAAUAAAAUGGACACCCUUCUUGCUAGGACCCUUAAGCCUAGACAGAGAUGCUCUCAUAUCCCAUCCAUACAACACUCCGACGUCCCUAUUAAAAAUACACCAUCUGACAUUGCGGAGGUCUUCACUAACUUUUAUAGAUCACUUUAUAACCACUCCCCGGACUCCAAAAUUCAGAGGGAUCAGGAAGAGAACUUAACAUGCAGAUUUUUGAUAGACCCAGGG